GCUACCUACUUCUUUUGCAACCCACUCCCAUGGUGUGACGGGCGGUGUGUACAAGGCCCGGGAACGUAUUCACCGUGGCAUUCUGAUCCACGAUUACUAGCGAUUCCGACUUCACGGAGUCGAGUUGCAGACUCCGAUCCGGACUACGACGCACUUUAUGAGGUCCGCUUGCUCUCGCGAGUUCGCUUCUCUUUGUAUGCGCCAUUGUAGCACGUGUGUAGCCCUGGCCGUAAGGGCCAUGAUGACUUGACGUCAUCCCCACCUUCCUCCGGUUUAUCACCGGCAGUCUCCUUUGAGUUCCCGACCGAAUCGCUGGCAACAAAGGAUAAGGGUUGCGCUCGUUGCGGGACUUAACCCAACAUUUCACAACACGAGCUGACGACAGCCAUGCAGCACCUGUCUCACGGUUCCCGAAGGCACUAAGGCAUCUCUGCCGAAUUCCGUGGAUGUCAAGGCCAGGUAAGGU
RNAcentral lists this ribosomal RNA (466 nucleotides) under Erwinia persicina. Its description in RNAcentral is "partial 16S ribosomal RNA". The record is from RNAcentral. Lineage: Bacteria; Pseudomonadati; Pseudomonadota; Gammaproteobacteria; Enterobacterales; Erwiniaceae.